This 21-nucleotide microRNA is filed under the name Caenorhabditis elegans. RNAcentral describes it as "cel-miR-798". Its record names the gene cel-miR-798. Lineage: Eukaryota; Metazoa; Nematoda; Chromadorea; Rhabditida; Rhabditidae. The record is from miRBase by way of RNAcentral.
UAAGCCUUACAUAUUGACUGA